RNAcentral lists this long non-coding RNA (4510 nucleotides) under Homo sapiens (human). RNAcentral describes it as "HSALNT0214025". The record is from RNAcentral. Lineage: Eukaryota; Metazoa; Chordata; Mammalia; Primates; Hominidae.
GCAAGGCUACAGGAAAGAGCUGGGCAGUGUUGAGAUUCAACGAAUGUGCCAAUCACUUAAGGAGUUAGAAUGUUAUUGAAUGAAUACAUUCAGCAGACGAAGAACUGUUAUAAUGGUAUCAGUGGGAGAGUUACUGUCUACGCUUGAAGCGUAGGAAGAUUGCUCAGGCCACAGUCUGAGAAGAGAACUACGUGAGAGGCAGAGAGAACGGUUGUGGUGAAAGACCAAAAUGGCCCAAAUUAAAGUCGCUUUGUGUGAACCAGGAGAAAUGGACAGAUUCAAGGCCUGUUUGGAUGAUGAAUUCAUAGCACAAAGAAGAGGUCACAGGAGCACACAGCAAGAAGGCAGCCAUCUGCAACCCUGUGGAGGAGACCUCCCCAGACAUUAACCAUGCUGGCACCUUGAUCUUGGACUUCUAGUCUCUGGGACUGUGAGAAAAUACAUUUCGGUUGUCUCAGCCACUCAGUCUGAAGAAUUUUGUUAUGUCAGCUCGAGCAGAUUGAUGCGGCUAUUGAGAUACAGCGGUUUCUAUUCUGUUUAUGUUUCCUUGUUUUGUUUCUGUUGUUGUUGUUGUUGUUUUGUCCUGGGCAUGUAGACCAAAGCCAAUAGGCAAGGUCACUUCAUUACUAGGAACCAAGUCUAAUCAUUGCACUAGAAAAUACUUAACUUUAUGCAUCCAGCUUUUUAGAAAAUUGUAUUUCAACUCAUUACAGGAUUUUCAUAGUGUAUCACAAGAUUUAUGUUGAGAGGAAAAGAGCCCUAAAGUUUCAAGAUAAUUGAAUUCUGGAAAAUGAGAAAAGUAGUCAAUUUUUAUAAAUUAGUAGGUAGCAUCUAUUUUUUCUUUUUUUGGUACUAAAAUUAUUGCAUUUUUAUUUUUACCUUAUUUUGUACCAAGAUGGGUCUAAAUGUCAUGGUGACUCAUUUCAAAACUUGCAUUUUCAUUUGUGAUUAAUCCCACCUACACUGAAAAGUUUUUGCUUGAUUUUUCUACUGAGGUGUGGGUUCCAAGCCUCGGUAUCCUAUGGAUGUACAAUUGUCCAAUGUAAGUUGUCAACUGUUAUAUUUGGGAGUGAAAGUAGAAACUACAGGGAUCAAAAAUGAGUUGGCAAGUUUUCUUUUCCUGAAGGAUGAAUCACUGGAGAAGUGCCAGUGAAUAGAAAAAAAAAAUUUCACCAAAAGAAAUAAUAACCAACAAGCCAUGUUCUACUGUCUUAAAACAAAGAAAAGCCAUUUAUCUCAGGGCACAUAUUGAUGCUGAAAAUGAUUCAACUUCACCACAUCAUAAGCGGAACCGUCAGAAGCAUAUUCCUGGAAACCAAAGCCUCUUGGGAGAAAGUUCAAGAAGCUGAAAAGAGCCAUGCAGUUCAAUUAUCCUGAUUCUUCAGUUUCCAUCUGUAUGAAACAGGCCACGCAGCAGAGACAUAGACACAUCAGAAUUCCCAUCUGCACUGCAAUAAACACUACUUAGGAGAAUCAGUCUCAGCUGGACCAAACCUCUCAGUCCCACUCGAUGUCAUCUGUGCCAAGCCAAGACUCUAUUCAAAAUACUUGGAAUACCUCAGUGAACAAAAGAUCCAUGAUUUCAUGGGCCUGCCUCUACCUAAGGGAGGCAGGUUUCCAAGAACAAAUGGAUGAAAAAACAACAACAACAACAACAAAAACUGCCAUGAAUUCCACAGACACAAAGAAAUGAAUUCUGCAAGCAAUUCAAGGGCAAUCUAUAACCUCACUGACUUGAGAUCCUGAGGAGGACCCAGUCCUGGCUGCCACCUGGAUUGCCCUGUGAUAUCCUCAACAGAGAACCCAUCCAACCUGUGUCAGGGCUCCUGACCCACAGAAGCUGUGAGAAAAUAAAUGAGUGUUUUUUUUUUUAAGGUUCCAAGUCCUUGGUAAUUAGUUAUGCAACAUAGACAGCUAAUACACUACUUUAUUCUCUGAUUCUAGACCACUGUCAAGAUAUAAAACAUCCUACAAAUUGCUUGGAACUACUAAACCACGAAUAGUUAUUGUGGCUUUUAUACUCAGAGCAGCUGGUUUUAGGAAACCGGUAACUACCAGGGGAACACAUUCUACCCUAUAUACACAAAAAACAUAUGUGAGAUGUUACCAUAAUGUUUCUUUUCUUACUGAUGUGUAAUAUCCAUAUCUGCUUAAUAGCCAGGGGCAGUAAAUGGACACAUCUUGUAAAAAGGUUUCAAGGGGAAAUAAAUUAAAAGCGCAAUAUAAGCAUUAGGCACAAAUUUCCUUUAUAUGGCAUUGCAUUAUUGCAGUAUCUGUCCAUGUGUCUGUCAUGGGUUAAAUCAAAACAUUAAUAUAAACAUUUUCUGCAAAAUCCUGGAUAACUAAGAAGGAAGGGAACAGUUACAUAAAAUGCUAAAGGGGCUCAUAGUAACAGGCAUGACUUUACGGCUUUACGAAUUUUUUCUAAGCUUUAUUUAUUUAUUCUCUUAUUUUGUGCUAUUUUCAAGUCUGUUUUCUCCCUUCCCCCGUCACCGUUUCACAGAUAAGUAGCUGAACAGCACCUAAAGGCAAUUGUGAUAUGGUGGCCUCACCAUGAAAUUGUCAUUUUCCAAGUUUUCCUACAAUGCUUUGCGCUUAGCAACUUAAAUCUAGCUCCUUCUUUUUAGAAACAUUUUCCUUCAUGUCGUGUACCCUCCCCAAGUGGAUUACUUAUAUUCCCCUAAAGAGUUUUCCAGGCUACUGUAUUUAGAGUCACUGAUAUUUUAUUUUCUCACUCAGAAAUACAAUUCAGUUUCAUUGAGGCCACACUUUACAUCUGUAAAAACAUCUUGACCACAUGUAAUCUAACAAUGUUGUUAGCUGCUUUUAUUUUGCAUUGCUUAAAGAUGAGUUUUGAAAAGAAUAGCUUUCUAAUAUGGUUAUGUGGUAAGCAGAAUAAUGCCCCUUCCCAAAGAUAUCUACCUCUUAAUCCCUAGAACCUGUAAAUAUGUACUUUACACACAGUAAAAGGGACUUUGCACAUGUGAUUAAGUGUCUUGAGAUGGGGAGAUUAUCCUAGAUUAUCUGAGUAUGCCCAAUGUAUUCACAAGGGCUCUUAUAAUAAAGAAACUCCUAGAUAGAAGAUGGAAGCAGAUUGAGCCAGAGAGAUCAAGGCUGCAGUGAGCCGCGAUCGCACCACUGCACUGAAGCCUAGCCAACAGCACGAGAAACUGUCUCAAAACAAAAACAAAAACAAAACAGAGAAUAAAAGAAAACUGAAGCAGACACUAGAAAGCAGGUAAAAUUCUAUGCAGCUGGCUGUGAACAUAGAGAAGAGGGAGUUAGGAGCUAAGAAAUGUAGGCAUCCUCUAGAAGCCAAAAUGGAAAAGAGAAAAGUUCCCUCCCAGAGCCUCCAAAAGCAACACAACCCUCCGGACCCAUUUUAGACUUUUCACCUCCAGGACUGUAAAAGAAUAAAUGCAUGUUGUUUUGAGCUAAAUUUGUGAUAAUCACAGCAAUAGGAAAGUAAUACAAUUUAUAACAAAAUGAUAAAAUUAGUUUAGAAGGUUCAGAAAUUAAAGGACUUACGGACUUCCAUAAUCUGAAAGAUUCAAAGUGACUAAGUAUCUCUCUUUGAUAUGUGAAAAGGUUAAUAACUUUUGUCUUUGUAUAGUUAAUAACAUGUUUUUUUCUUAGAGUAAAAGCAUCUCAUUUAUGGGUUGGCCUAGCCCAUACUGGGGAUGUGUGCUAUUUCCUCACCAAUUUAAGGCCUACAGCCCUUCGCCAAGGACAGGUUUUUAAAAAUAUUUUAAGCAAUAAUGAAAUCAAGAGAUGAUCUGGAUCUGGAUAAGAAGAACAUUAAAGAUUUUGCCAGAAGCCUGGACCAAACUUGUGGGGACUGUCAUUUUGUAUUUGUGUGGAGACUUCUCUGCUCUACGAAUUUCCUUCUACAGGGAAGAAUGUCUAGACCCACGGGCACAUCUAGUCAAAACUCUGUUACCUGAUUGAGCACAUGGAGGAACAUGAAUCCUUCUUGACUUAUGGCAACAGCAAAUGCAACAACAAAAUUCAAAAUUAGAGCUCUAACCGGAGAAGGCCAUUUAAUAGAAAGUUUACAGAUAUUGCAUAAGUAGAUACACAUCUUAUUUAGGUAAGAGCUUGAUGAUGUUGUGCUUCGCUUAAUAGACCCUUGCAGACGGUAGUCUCUAAAUCCCAUCUGGUUCUCAUGAUAAAGAAAAUUAAACUGUAGGUGGGAGUCAAGGAAGAGAGCCUCAGAAUUUUUCUUUAACAACUUGAUUUUCCUCUACAACAAUUUGAGAAAAUAUGUGAAUUAAUUCUUCCUUGGAUCGACAUCUUGAAAGUUCCCUAUCAGAGCUGAAACCUUCCUUCCUGUGACUCAGAACCUAGGCUUACCAUAUUAAGGACACAUGCCUUUGGCAGCAUGACCAUAAUAAUUCACAAAUAUAAGAAUCCUUGUGUUUAUGGUAUCAGCAUAUAGGUGCCCUUAAUGCCUCUCUCACUCCAAUUUUGAAUUAAUAGUUUUCUUCUGUGUACCAUAAUAAAAGUGGAG